Long non-coding RNA from Megalobrama amblycephala (Wuchang bream), 2547 nucleotides. RefSeq lists it as uncharacterized. Lineage: Eukaryota; Metazoa; Chordata; Actinopteri; Cypriniformes; Xenocyprididae. The transcript is spliced from 3 exons. The record is from RefSeq and is a predicted model, not a curated record.
GACAAGCAUCAGAAGACACUGAAUUUUCAGACAAUGGAACAUGAGAGGAAAUCAAGUUUUCAGCAUUGAUGGUCAGUCCAUUAUCCAGCGCUUUUGUUGGCACGAGUGCAAGACACGAUGCCUGCCACUUCUUUCCAUCAUCCAAGAGGUAGGUGUAAGGGCCAACUUUUUUCCUAACCUCAACUGGAGGAGUGAAUUUUGGAUGGGCUUUUGGGACAUGUACUGCCUUUUAACGCGCACUUUAUCCCCUUUUUGGAAAGAAAAAAUGGCGCACUUGAUGCUUGUGGUCAAAGCGAGAUUUCAUGACAUGCUGACAUGAUGAAACGCUUCUGCAGUUGUUUAGGCUCAUGACCAGAUGGUGAGGGUUUCAGGACAUUGAGGUGGGUACUUACCUUUUUUACUAUAAUAUUUAUAGUAUUUACUAUAAUAGUCAGUGAGUGUCAGAGCAUAUCAACAGUCCCAGACAGCAGUCUCGAAAGGGCCCACAAUGUCUAUUGCCAGUUUUUCCCAAGGCGCAGAAGGUAAAGGAACAGGCUCGAGUGGAACAGCAGAGGCUUUCACAGUUUUAUCCAGAGAAAAGCAUAACUGACAGGCAGUAAUUUUCUCUGCCACAAGUAUGUCCAUUUUGGGCCACCAAUACAUUUCACGCUGGCGUUGCUUUAUCAGUCCCAGCUCUAUCAGUCCAUUUUGUGGUCAGAAGCGUCAUUAAGGCUUGAUGGUCAGUCUACAGAGUAAAUCUGCGGCCCCACAAGUAUGUCCUCCACCUUUCCAUUGCCCAAACACAUGCCAGAGCCUCCUUUUCAACAGUGGAGUAUUUCUGUUCAGCUGGGGUGAGUUUUCUGGAUGCGUACGUAUGUACGUUCUUGACCAUCAGUGCAUAUUUGUGCGAAGACAGCACCUAGUCCGUAAGCAGACGCGUCAGUAGAAAUGACCACUGGCAGCCCCGGGUCAAAUAGUACAAGAGCAGGACUGUGUACCAAUAUCUUUUUUACCUCAGCCAACUUUGUUGAGCUUCAUCAGACCAGCGAAACCACUCUCAUCUCUCAGGCAUGCACGCAGAGGCAUCACUACGGAAGCGAAAUUGGGAAUAAAUUUGUUGUACCAUGAGAGAAGGCCCAGCAGAGAACGCAACUGAACAGCAUCCAAUGGUGCAGGUGCAUCGAUUAUUGCCGAGAGGUGUUCCUGAUCCAGCUGAAUACCCUGUGACGUCACCAUGUGUCCUAAAAACUUCAAACUCUGCUUUCUGAAUUGACAUUUAGACUCAUUCAGCACCAACCCAGCAUCUUUGAGACGUUGCAGCACAUUUUCUAAUGCUUGAUCAUGCUCUUUUAGUGAGCGUCCCCACACGAUGAUGUCUUCCAGAUAAUUUGCAACAUUCUGGAGUCCUUUUAGAAUGACAACCAUCAUCUUUUGGAAUGCAAAUGGAGCAGAUGCCAAGCCAUAAGGUACCCUGCAGAACCUGAAAAGCCCCUCAUAUGUAAUGAAUGCAGUGAGGUCCUGGCUGUCUUCAUGAAGAGGUACCUGAUGGCACUUUCCAAGUCUAUAGUUGAAAAUACAAUUGCACCUUGCAGUAAUGUCAUCAUCUCCUCCAUGUGUGGCAAUGGGUAGCUGUCUACUAUAAAUGCCUUGUUGGGCCCUCGCAGAUCCACACACAUGCAGAUCCCCCCAGUUUUAUUUUGUACCACAACAAUUGGGGAAACCCAUGGAGAUGAGUCAAUUCAGUUCCAGUCGUUCCAGUUCUGCGGAAACAGCAUCUCUCACAGAGAAAGCCCAAUGAAGCACGCUGUGAUGGAGGAGUGGAGAGGGCACAGGCUGAAGUGGAUUGUGGCGGCGGCAGCACAGUGUGUCCAUCAAAUCGAAGCUGGAGUCCCUUAAUCAGGUCCAUGCCUUGCAAAGCUGUGCCAUUGUCGACUAUGAAGAAGUGUGCAGGACAGGUAAUGCCAUAUUUGGAUACCGUUGCAGGUAAACAUCCUAGUACUGAAAUUGGUUCUUGUAAGUAAGUAAUUAAACAGGCAGUAGGUGCUUGUAAUGGUACAGUGUGAAAAUGCUUCUCAUAUAAUUGUUUUGGCAGGAUGGACACUGAUGAACCAGAGUCCACUGUGAGUUGAAGAGACAGGGGUGGCAGCAGGUGUGGCAUUUAUGGUCACAUCACAGAUCAAACGGUCAGUUGCUCCAGGUAGAUAGAGAAUACAGACCUCUGGCAAUUCAACUGAAUGCACUGAACGAGUAGGAGCAGAAUGGCAGACUCGUGUAAAAUGUCCAUCUUAUUGCAAUUCUUACAUUUAGCAGAUGCAGCAGGGCAGUUCUGUGCAUUUGCAAGAUGUCCAGUGGAGCCACAGCGGAAGCAUGUCCGAGCUGAUGGAGCAGAAGCAGAGGGUUUUGAUGAGUCCUCCUUGUUCCUGCGCCUGUACGCCUGGAAACUGUUCGCUUCUGGAUCGCUUGGACGGGUUAUUUUCCUGCCCGAACUACUGACUAUGCACCGCUGGAUUAUAUUGCACCUGCUACAGUUCUUCUGCUAUUGUCUCAUUGCAGUGGUUUAAAUAAAGA